This 427-nucleotide ribosomal RNA is filed under the name uncultured bacterium. Its description in RNAcentral is "bacterial SSU rRNA". It matches the Rfam family "Bacterial small subunit ribosomal RNA", at positions 355 to 774 of the family's 1533-position model. The record is from RNAcentral.
UGGGGAAUUUUGGACAAUGGGCGCAAGCCUGAUCCAGCAAUGCCGCGUGCAGGAUGAAGGCCUUCGGGUUGUAAACUGCUUUUGUACGGAGCGAAAAGGUCUGCCCUAAUACGGUGGGCUCAUGACGGUACCGUAAGAAUAAGCACCGGCUAACUACGUGCCAGCAGCCGCGGUAAUACGUAGGGUGCGAGCGUUAAUCGGAAUUACUGGGCGUAAAGCGUGCGCAGGCGGUUAUAUAAGACAGAGGUGAAAUCCCCGGGCUCAACCUGGGACCUGCAUUUGUGACUGUAUAGCUAGAGUACGGUAGAGGGGGAUGGAAUUCCGCGUGUAGCAGUGAAAUGCGUAGAUAUGCGGAGGAACACCGAUGGCGAAGGCAAUCCCCUGGACCUGUACUGACGCUCAUGCGCGAAAGCGUGGGGAGCAAACA